Triticum aestivum (bread wheat) is the source of this 134-nucleotide non-coding RNA. Lineage: Eukaryota; Viridiplantae; Streptophyta; Magnoliopsida; Poales; Poaceae. The record is from Rfam.
AUAAUACUUCCUCCAUCCCAAAUUACUUGUCUUAAAUUUGUCUAGAUACGGAUGUAUCUAGAUACAUUUUACUGUUAGGUACAUCCGUAUCUAUAAAAUCUAAGACAAGUAAUUUCGGACAGAGGUAAUAGGAU